GGGGUUGUGGCUCAGUGGUAGAGCACUCAUCUAGAAUGUGAGAGGCACUGAGUUCAAUCCUCAGCACCA
RNAcentral lists this transfer RNA (69 nucleotides) under Ictidomys tridecemlineatus (thirteen-lined ground squirrel). Its description in RNAcentral is "Spermophilus tridecemlineatus (thirteen-lined ground squirrel) tRNA". It matches the Rfam family "tRNA". Rfam says of the family: Transfer RNA (tRNA) molecules are approximately 80 nucleotides in length. Their secondary structure includes four short double-helical elements and three loops (D, anti-codon, and T loops). Lineage: Eukaryota; Metazoa; Chordata; Mammalia; Rodentia; Sciuridae. The record is from Rfam by way of RNAcentral.